This 3447-nucleotide long non-coding RNA is filed under the name Phoenix dactylifera (date palm). RNAcentral describes it as "long non-coding RNA (PDAC_LNC008310)". The record is from RNAcentral. Lineage: Eukaryota; Viridiplantae; Streptophyta; Magnoliopsida; Arecales; Arecaceae.
GUUUGAGAAGUUUUCCUCAUGUACUUUAUAAAGAUAAUUCUGACCAAUAGCGCUCUUUUUUUGGGGUAAAUCAGAAUAAUUAUACUAUUUUAGUAUAAAUACAUCUGUGAAAAUUAAAAAAAUAUAUUCAAAAAUUGAAAAAGAUAAGCCAACUCUAAAAUCUCGCAUGAUUAGAUAUAUAAGAGGCCAUGCAAUUAUCUGCACUAAUUUUUUUACUCUUAAAAAAAAUUCCAAUGUUGUCCAAUGCUGAUGGCGGUCCUUUUGCUACUCUUAAAAAAAUAUUAGAAUCAGUUCAACUCAAUCCACCAUUUACACAUUUCAAGAUUUUAAGCUAAUAUAGAAUUGUAUGUGAAUAGAGAGUUCUUCAAUGGAAAUAAAGAGAUAUAUGCGCACGCAGACACAAAUAAAUAUGUUCGCUCACCGUCGAUUAUCCUGGCAUUUGCUGCUGCUGAGGUUGCCAUUAGAGAGAAUGUGACAGAGAAAUAGAUCGCCAAGAGAUUGUGUAGAUAUGUGGAGGUAGGGCCUAUUCUAUUCAGCAAAGUUUUGGAAAGAAGGGGAAAGCUAGUAUUUGUCCUGGAUGUGAUUGGAUGGAUCGAGAUGAGGUAUUUAUAGGCCAUCAACCAAGCCCAAAAACCAGGUGUGAAGAAGUCUCGUGUGGCUACCCAAGGUGGAUAGUUGGACGUAUCGUCCAAUAUUGGCCUUUUCUUUCCUUGGAACAAGAUUAUUCUUAAUUUUAGAUUCAUUGAUCCAUCCAAGUUGACCGGAUACUCUAAGCCAAAAGUUUCUACUGAUUCGCAUCUUUUCCGUGGUGCGCAUUGGACUUUGAACGUGCUUCAUAUGGUUCCAAUUUUUUGCAUGCACGAUUCCACCACAUUCGACGUUCGCGGCGGGUUAUGCUUCCUAUAUGUCUUGGGUGAAUGUGGCUCGUGACCAGAAUUAGAAUUGGAAUAGUUAUAUUCCCUAGUGCAUUUAGCUUAUGACUAAAAUUGGAAUCGGAUCGAAAAAUCAAUUAAAUAGGAAGACGUUUAUGACAUUUGAUUACUGGAAUUAGGAGAGUUUUGAGAUUGGGUUUUGGACAUGAUAUUCUCAGUUCAUACCAUGCUCUUUGCCGCACUCCUUCUAAACAAACAAACUUGUGACACAGGGUUCAUAUAUUUUUUGAUUGGUAGUAUGAUAAGAUAUUUAAUUGUCCAUAUUGAGUCAAUUAAACUGCAUACAAAUUUUAAAUACGGCGUCCUUGACCGGACAUCACGUAAGGAAACCGGCAUUGCAUCUGCCAGAAGGACCGGUCCUUCAAAUGAUUUUCCUACCAGACAAAAAAUCAGUCAAAUAAUUCUGUGGAUGCAUGAUUAGCCGGGUCCAACCUAACAACAGCCAUCACAAUUAUGGGCUGAAAUCAUGUGCCAUUCACGACUUUGUCAAACAGAAACUAUAAAUCCAUUAAUUAAAGCAUCAUGCUUUUUUUUUUUAAUAUGAAGGCAUGAAUGUAGGUUUUGCGGAAUUAAAUCUGUAGACGAUCAUGAAAAAACCAAAGCAUGCAAGUAUUAGUUAUAACAUUCUCUUUCAAAAGCUAAUCAGCCUGCUUGGUAUCUCCAUAGAGCAUAGGCAUAGAUUUUGAGUACUUAUAUUGGACUAAGAAACCCAAAAAAUUUUUGUCGGCUAGCUUUUUUUGGGUGAGAUCUUUAGUUGUUACAGUAUGCACCCUAUAUAAAAUGUUCGCAUGAUAAAUCAUUAAAAAAAAGUGAAAAAUAACUAGGGGAAGGUACGUUUAUAGGAGUGAUAAGGUCGAGCGCAUGUAUGAAGAAAAUUUAAGCACAAAAAAAGAGUUGAGGGUAAAUUCAGAAGAGGAAAGAGAGCAAACUAAAAGUGGACGGUCUGAGUUUGUGAGGUACGCAGAGGAUUAACCUUGCAAUGAGGAAAAUGAAAUAAAAGAUAAAAAGAAAGGAAAUCGAUCUCCAAUACAGCCACCCAAGUUAAUUUACCAACUUAAUAAGCUCUCGUCUUCAAUAGUUGUCAUUAGAGUAAAGCUUUAUUUUAAGGUAUGGCCCUCGUCAAUCACCUCCAAUGAAUCCAUCCUAGGUGGAUUAAUGCAGCAUUGGUUAAUAUGUACAUGAAUGAAAGAUGAUGCAAUAAUCACCUCAUUUGUGCAAGGGUACAGCACCCAGAUAGAUUUUUCAAGAAUUAUCACAUAAAUUUCAGCCGCAUGUGAUUCAGGUGUCUAUGCCAACUAGCAUAUGGAAUUUGUAUCCAAAAUAUUUGACAAAAAGUCUUCAACUGCGCUUAGGAGUAGAAAUUUUCUAUUUAGAGGGCAUACGAAAUAAUCUACAUGGGAUUCAAAUUGCAUGCAGAUUUGCACCUCCUUCUGAUACCUGUAUUUCACUCACGCGGUUAGAAAGAUGGGAGCCUGCUGCAAUUUUUUUUCCAAUAAACAGAUAAGGAGUUUCCAGAUGCUAGCCUGCGGUAAAAAAUUAUCAGCACUAUAACAUAAAAAAGAGGCAUAUGAGGACCCGUGUGGGCAUGUAUUUAGUCUCAUAUUGAUUAUUUACCGAGGAGAUUUUGGAUACUUAUAUAGACGAAGGAACUCAAAACUUACUUUCUAGCUAGCCUUUUUGGGUGAAGUCCUGAAUUAUUACAAAUGAUAUCAGAGCAAAUUCGGCUCAUAGCCUAUGUGGACUAGGAGGAUACUGCAGCACGAGUUCACGGAGGCAGAACACGGGCCGAUCGUGGUGCUUGUAAUUAGAUUUAGAUGAAUUUGAACUCCUGACGAGGACAUCAGAGCUUGGACGAGUGGAGUAUGUGAGGAUCCGUGCGGGCAUGUGUUUAGUCCCACAUCGGUUAUUUGCUGAGGAGAUCUUUAGUACUUAUACAAGACUAAGGAACUUAAAAAUUACCUUCUGUCUACCUUUUUUGGGUGAGGUGUAGCACCAAGACUAAAUCUUGACGAAAUCUAUCCAGCCAUAAAAGUUUUGCUAGGGUAAAUUCUGCACAACCAUUCAUAAAGACGCACUUUGAUGCUUUGGCUAAGUAAAUGCUUGGUCUAGAUUAGAUGAAUAAAGCUGAUUUUAUUUACAUUUGGUCUCCUUCUACUUGCAAGCAGCACAAAAGCAUCAUGUACGUGCCCGUUAAAUAUUGUUUAUUGCGACACGAAUAAGCUUAAUUUGCAUAUAGCGUAGCGGUAAAUAUUCUGCUCCGGUCCUAGUGUACACUCCCUUUGGCAGCAUCUACUAAUUCGGAACUUAAUUUGAAAGCCAUAUUUCGACCCGGACGUUUUCGGGAUGCCCCUAAUAACCAACGAAUGGCAAGUGCUUUUCCUUGUGUAGAUCCUAUUUCAAUAGGAACUUGAUGAGUCGAUCCACCUACACGUCUUGCUUUUACUGCUAUAUCGGGAGUUACUCCAUGUAUUGCUUGACGUAAAACAGAUAGUGGAUUUGUUUCUGUCUUUUGUUC